This 1112-nucleotide long non-coding RNA is filed under the name Phaseolus vulgaris (common bean). Its description in RNAcentral is "long non-coding RNA (PVUL_LNC003145)". Lineage: Eukaryota; Viridiplantae; Streptophyta; Magnoliopsida; Fabales; Fabaceae. The record is from RNAcentral.
AAACUUUAAACCCAAAUUAAAAAUCCAAGUUGAAACCCUACUCCGUUCCAAUCAGAAAGCAUCAUUUGUUGAUACUGUGUACACCGUCACUGAAAUGGAUUAAUAAACGUUGCUAUUGCUUGCAGCGGCGUUGCUUCCUUUUGUUCACGGAGGCGAAAAAUGAAAUCUUGAGAAAGAAGGCCUUGUGAGUAUCUCCAGCAACGCCAAAGAAGGAAGAUGGAAAAUCUCCAGCAACACCGCUCACUUACCCUUUCAUACAAAGGGGUUGUAUUGAAGGGCCAUUGGAACUUCACUUUUUCUUCUAGAGUACACUUUUUCAUAUUUAAAAGAACAAAAUGCUAAACGAAUUCUUAUUGUAUAUAUAAACUAUAAGGAACAUAUUACGUAGAGAAAUUGGGGAGUUGCUAGUUCCCCACCUAAGCUCAACGAUAAAAGGGGUGGUUUUACUUGGAGAAUGCAAUGUCUUAGUAUUUAUAGGGCUUAUAUGAUUGCUGCAAUAGGCAGCUUGAAUUCAUUGCUCUCAUAUGUAGUCAUGUAAGAUGAAAGUUUGCAAGGUCUUAGAUUCCUUCUUUUUUGAGUUCAUAUUUGUAAUUUGUGUUUUUUUUUUUAAUUAUAGUGUUGCUGUUUAUUUGCAGGUCUUAGUGACAAGGUUCAGAAGCCUUCCACUCUUGUUUGCAGAUACACCUAAUGCAGUUCAUGAGUUAACAAUAGCAAGUAACGUUCUUCACUCCAAUCAGUUAUAUUGUCACCCCCGCCUCUUCUGUGUUUAUAUUCCUACAUGAACCUUCGACAAAUGUGAGACGUAUGAAACGUUUUUUUAUCCAAACAUUUGUUGUGGCUAAAAAAGCUUACUAAAAUUAUCUAAUUCUUACAAGAAAUUGUGCAGUUGACCAGCAUUAAAACAAUAUGCAUCCUUAGAGAAACUAUAGCUAGCUAUUUCACGUGCUGAGCUACUGAUGUAUCUAUAAAAUAUCUCAUAAAUGGCAUCAAAUUGCAUUGUUGGUGUUGAACCUAUAGAUGGUGGUUAAAAAAGUUGUUUAUCUUCCAAAGGCACUUCCCAUUUUAUUUGUUUUUCAAUUUUCUUUCCAAGCUUAGAUUGAAUCCAAUAAUCC